This 386-nucleotide unclassified non-coding RNA is filed under the name Hevea brasiliensis (rubber tree). The record is from RNAcentral. Lineage: Eukaryota; Viridiplantae; Streptophyta; Magnoliopsida; Malpighiales; Euphorbiaceae.
AAAAGACCAAAUACUUUAUUUCAAAUAAUGGCUAAUGGUAUUUACAAGUUUAAUACUGUUUGCACCAUUCUAACGGAACUGAUCUUUUUUACACACCAACUAUGAGAUAUUGAAAUCAAGAAAAUAAGACAACCUGGAGAGCAAGGCAUUACAAAGCCACUGACCUUUUUACUUUUGUCAAGUAUAAGCAACAGAUACAAGGUGAGGGACUUUUCCCUCAUCAAAGGGCAAGCUGAUAUACUCCCUUGCAAAUUCCUCAGCAAUUUCCCAAGCAAGCUCCCCAUGUACAGCCUUGCAAUACAUAUACAGAACAGUAUUUGUCGCGACAUGGUAAAGGAGUAACAGCAUUAGCAGUGUUGAAGUUACUACAAUUUGCACAACAAAUG